RNAcentral lists this long non-coding RNA (249 nucleotides) under Elaeis guineensis (African oil palm). Its description in RNAcentral is "long non-coding RNA (EGUI_LNC082112)". Lineage: Eukaryota; Viridiplantae; Streptophyta; Magnoliopsida; Arecales; Arecaceae. The record is from RNAcentral.
GGGACACCGAGCUCCCCCACCCCUACUACAGAGGUCUGAGACCUCCGACCUUGUAUUUUUCUUUUACUGUAAUUUUUUCUUUUCUUUUUGUCUUUAAGAAAUAUUCAAUCAAUAAAGUUGAAUUUCUUGUCAUGGAUGGCUUCUCCUUUCUUCCUUUCCCCUUUCUGCUUUUCUUUCUGUGAUGAGACGCGCCUUGACGCUUUUGUCUCCCGAUGGCAGUGCCCUGUCGAAGCACUUCCCCUGCCCCUG